This 72-nucleotide transfer RNA is filed under the name Bos taurus (domestic cattle). It matches the Rfam family "tRNA". Rfam says of the family: Transfer RNA (tRNA) molecules are approximately 80 nucleotides in length. RNAcentral also lists the same sequence under 1 other name. The record is from Rfam by way of RNAcentral. Lineage: Eukaryota; Metazoa; Chordata; Mammalia; Artiodactyla; Bovidae.
UCCUUGGUGGCUCAGAUGGUAAAGCGUCUGUCUGCAAUGUGGGAGACCCGGGUUCGAUCCCUGGGUAGGGAA